RNAcentral lists this ribosomal RNA (428 nucleotides) under uncultured crenarchaeote. Its description in RNAcentral is "bacterial SSU rRNA". It matches the Rfam family "Archaeal small subunit ribosomal RNA", at positions 54 to 488 of the family's 1478-position model. Lineage: Archaea; Thermoproteati; Thermoproteota. The record is from RNAcentral.
CGAGUCAUUGUAGCAAUACAAGGCAUACGGCUCAGUAACGCGUAGUCCCUUAACCUAUGGACGGGAAUAACCUCGGGAAACUGAGAACCCUGCCCGAUAGAACAUUAUGCCUGGAAUGGUUUAUGUUCCAAAUGAUUUAUCGCCGUAGGAUGGGACUGCGGCCUAUCAGUUUGUUGGUGAGGUAAUGGCCCACCAAGACUAUUACAGGUACGGGCUCUGAGAGGAGUAGCCCGGAGAUGGGUACUGAGACACGGACCCAGGCCCUAUGGGGCGCAGCAGGCGAGAAAACUUUGCAAUGUGCGAAAGCACGACAAGGUUAAUCCGAGUGGUUUCUGCUAAAGAAACCUUUUGUCAGUCCUAGAAACACUGAUGAAUAAGGGGUGGGCAAGUUCUGGUGUCAGCCGCCGCGGUAAAACCAGCACCUCAAG